RNAcentral lists this long non-coding RNA (308 nucleotides) under Aquilegia coerulea. Its description in RNAcentral is "long non-coding RNA (ACOE_LNC000541)". Lineage: Eukaryota; Viridiplantae; Streptophyta; Magnoliopsida; Ranunculales; Ranunculaceae. The record is from RNAcentral.
GUGGAAUUUAUAUCCACAUAUUAUUAUUCUCUUAAAUAUUUACUGUAAGUACAAAACACAUCUUAGAAUCACAUACAGUAUUCAAAAUAUCAAUUCACAGGAUGUAGCAGAUAUCAGCGAGCAUAACCAUAUCACAAAACAAUAAAAGGACCUAACUCACACAAUCCCAUAGAUUAUAAAUCACUAAAAAAAAAACAGAUAAAACUAUACCUACAAAAUCUAUAUGUGUAUACUAUACACACCUCAAAGAACCAAACUAAUAACAACCACGUCAAUUAAACAUAUAAAUAAUUUUACCAAAAAAAAAA